UACGGGGGGGGUAAGCGUUGGUUCGGAAUUACUGGGCGUAAAGGGCUCGUAGGCGGCCAACUAAGUCAGACGUGAAAUCCCUCGAGCUUAACUGGGGAACUGCGUCUGAUACUGGAUGGCUUGGAUUCGGGAGAGGGAAUGCGGAAUUCCAGGUGUAGCGGUGAAAUGCGUAGAUAUCUGGAGGAACACCGGUGGCGAAGGCAGGUCUCUGGGCCAUAACUGACGCUGAGAAGCGAAAGCAUGGGGAGCGAACAGG
RNAcentral lists this ribosomal RNA (256 nucleotides) under uncultured bacterium. RNAcentral's name for it is "partial 16S ribosomal RNA". It matches the Rfam family "Bacterial small subunit ribosomal RNA", at positions 524 to 776 of the family's 1533-position model. The record is from RNAcentral.